This 253-nucleotide ribosomal RNA is filed under the name uncultured bacterium. Its description in RNAcentral is "partial 16S ribosomal RNA". It matches the Rfam family "Bacterial small subunit ribosomal RNA", at positions 524 to 776 of the family's 1533-position model. The record is from RNAcentral.
UACGUAGGGGGCAAGCGUUGUCCGGAUUUAUUGGGCGUAAAGAGCUCGUAGGCGGCUUGUCACGUCGGAUGUGAAAGCCCGGGGCUUAACCCCGGGUCUGCAUUCGAUACGGGCUAGCUAGAGUGUGGUAGGGGAGAUCGGAAUUCCUGGUGUAGCGGUGAAAUGCGCAGAUAUCAGGAGGAACACCGGUGGCGAAGGCGGGUCUCUGGGGCAUAACUGACGCUGAGGAGCGAAAGCAUGGGGAGCGAACAGG